Molecule: ribosomal RNA, 845 nt
Filed under: uncultured bacterium
Lineage: Bacteria
Description: bacterial SSU rRNA
Rfam family: Bacterial small subunit ribosomal RNA
Source: RNAcentral
AGAGUUUGAUCCUGGCUCAGAUUGAACGCUGGCGGUAUGCUUUACACAUGCAAGUCGAACGGAUUAAGAAGCUUGCUUCUUAGUUAGUGGCGAACGGGUGAGUAAUAUAUCGGAACAUAUCCGGAAGUGGGGGAUAACGUAGCGAAAGUUACGCUAAUACCGCAUAUGCCCUGAGGGGGAAAGGGGGGGAUCGCAAGACCUCUCGCUUUCGGAGUGGCCGAUAUCGGAUUAGCUAGUAGGUGAGGUAAAGGCUCACCUAGGCGACGAUCCGUAGCUGGUCUGAGAGGACGACCAGCCACACUGGAACUGAGACACGGUCCAGACUCCUACGGGAGGCAGCAGUGGGGAAUUUUGGACAAUGGGCGAAAGCCUGAUCCAGCCAUACCGCGUGAGUGAAGAAGGCCUUCGGGUUGUAAAGCUCUUUCAGACGGAAAGAAAAGGUUUCGGAUAAUACCUGGAACUGAUGACGGUACCGUAAGAAGAAGCACCGGCUAACUACGUGCCAGCAGCCGCGGUAAUACGUAGGGUGCGAGCGUUAAUCGGAAUUACUGGGCGUAAAGCGUGCGCAGGCGGUUUUUUAAGCCAGAUGUGAAAUCCCCGGGCUCAACCUGGGAACUGCAUUUGGAACUGGAAGACUAGAGUAUAGCAGAGGGAGGUAGAAUUCCACGUGUAGCAGUGAAAUGCGUAGAUAUGUGGAGGAAUACCGAUGGCGAAGGCAGCCUCCUGGGUUAAUACUGACGCUCAUGCACGAAAGCGUGGGGAGCAAACAGGAUUAGAUACCCUGGUAGUCCACGCCCUAAACGAUGUCAACUAGGUGUUGGGGGGAGGAGACUUCCUUAGUACCG